CCUAACACUACAGGAUGGGCCCGCGGCGCAUUAGCUAGUUGGUAAGGUAAUGGCUUACCAAGGCGACGAUGCGUAGCCGACCUGAGAGGGUGAUCGGCCACACUGGGACUGAGACACGGCCCAGACUCCUACGGGAGGCAGCAGUAGGGAAUCUUCCGCAAUGGACGAAAGUCUGACGGAGCAACGCCGCGUGAACGAUGAAGGCCUUCGGGUCGUAAAGUUCUGUUGUUAGGGAAGAACAAGUACCGUUCAAAUAGGGCGGUACCUUGACGGUACCUAACGAGAAGGCCACGGCUAACUACGUGCCAGCAGCCGCGGUAAUACGUAGGUGGCAAGCGUUGUCCGGAAUUAUUGGGCGUAAAGCGCGCGCAGGCGGUCUUUUAAGUCUGAUGUGAAAGCCCACGGCUCAACCGUGGAGGGUCAUUGGAAACUGGGAGACUUGAGUGCAGAAGAGGAGAGUGGAAUUCCAUGUGUAGCGGUGAAAUGCGUAGAUAUAUGGAGGAACACCAGUGGCGAAGGCGACUCUCUGGUCUGUAACUGACGCUGAGGCGCGAAAGCGUGGGGAGCAAA
RNAcentral lists this ribosomal RNA (570 nucleotides) under uncultured bacterium. RNAcentral's name for it is "bacterial SSU rRNA". It matches the Rfam family "Bacterial small subunit ribosomal RNA", at positions 211 to 772 of the family's 1533-position model. The record is from RNAcentral.